Molecule: non-coding RNA, 46 nt
Organism: Agrilus planipennis (emerald ash borer)
Lineage: Eukaryota; Metazoa; Arthropoda; Insecta; Coleoptera; Buprestidae
Source: Rfam
UAAACAGUCCUUUUCAGGACUACAAUCUUUCAAAAACGUUUGUUCG